This 795-nucleotide ribosomal RNA is filed under the name uncultured Pelagibacteraceae bacterium. RNAcentral describes it as "bacterial SSU rRNA". It matches the Rfam family "Bacterial small subunit ribosomal RNA", at positions 44 to 887 of the family's 1533-position model. Lineage: Bacteria; Pseudomonadati; Pseudomonadota; Alphaproteobacteria; Candidatus Pelagibacterales; Candidatus Pelagibacteraceae. The record is from RNAcentral.
ACGCCUAACACAUGCAAGUCGAACGCAGUAGCAAUACUGAGUGGCAAACGGGUGAGUAUAAUGUGGGAAUCUGCCUUUUGGUUUGGAAUAACACGGGGAAACUUGUGCUAAUACCGAAUAAGCCCUUACGGGGAAAGUUUUAAUGCCGAAAGAUGAGCCCGCACUUGAUUAGCUAGUUGGUAAGGUAAAAGCUUACCAAGGCAAUGAUCAAUAGCUGUUCUUAGAGGAAGACCAGCCACAUUGGGACUGAGACACGGCCCAGACUCCUACGGGAGGCAGCAGUGGGGAAUCUUGCACAAUGGGGGAAACCCUGAUGCAGCGAUGCCGCGUGAGUGAAGAAGGCCUUUGGGUUGUAAAACUCUUUCGUCGGGGAAGAAAAUGACUGUACCCGAAUAAGAAGGUCCGGCUAACUUCGUGCCAGCAGCCGCGGUAAUACGAAGGGACCUAGCGUAGUUCGGAAUUACUGGGCUUAAAGAGCUCGUAGGUGGUUAAAAAAGUUGAUGGUGAAAUCCCAAGGCUUAACCUUGGAACUGCCAUCAAAACUUUUUAGCUAGAGUGUGAUAGAGGUAAGUGGAAUUUCUAGUGUAGAGGUGAAAUUCGUAGAUAUUAGAAAGAACACCAAAUGCGAAGGCAACUUACUGGGUCACUACUGACACUGAGGAGCGAAAGCAUGGGUAGCGAAGAGGAUUAGAUACCCUCGUAGUCCAUGCUGUAAACGAUGUGUGCUAGACGUUGGAAAUAUAUUUUUCAGUGUCGCAGCGAAAGCAUUAAGCACACCGCCUGGGGAGUACGACC